CCUACGGGGGGCAGCAGUGAGGAAUAUUGGUCAAUGGACGAGAGUCUGAACCAACCAAGUAGCGUGAAGGAUGACUGCCCUAUGGGUUGUAAACUUCUUUUAUAUGGGAAUAAAACGUUCCACGUGUGGGAUUUUGUAUGUACCAUAUGAAUAAGGAUCGGCUAACUCCGUGCCAGCAGCCGCGGUAAUACGGAGGAUCCGAGCGUUAUCCGGAUUUAUUGGGUUUAAAGGGAGCGUAGGUGGAUUGUUAAGUCAGUUGUGAAAGUUUGCGGCUCAACCGUAAAAUUGCAGUUGAAACUGGCAGUCUUGAGUACAGUAGAGGUGGGCGGAAUUCGUGGUGUAGCGGUGAAAUGCUUAGAUAUCACGAAGAACUCCGAUUGCGAAGGCAGUUCACUGGACUGCAACUGACACUGAGGCUCGAAAGUGUGGGUAUCAAACAGGAUUAGAUACCCGAGUAGUC
This 460-nucleotide ribosomal RNA is filed under the name uncultured bacterium. RNAcentral's name for it is "partial 16S ribosomal RNA". It matches the Rfam family "Bacterial small subunit ribosomal RNA", at positions 338 to 795 of the family's 1533-position model. The record is from RNAcentral.